Molecule: ribosomal RNA, 466 nt
Filed under: uncultured bacterium
Lineage: Bacteria
Description: partial 16S ribosomal RNA
Rfam family: Bacterial small subunit ribosomal RNA
Source: RNAcentral
CUACGGGACGCUCCAGUCGAGAAUAGUCUACAAUGGACGAAAGUCUGAUAGUGCAACGCCGCGUGGGUGAUGAAGCAUUUCGGUGUGUAAAACCCUUUUCUUUGUGAGCAAUGCCAUUAUGGUUAAUAGCUAUAGUGGAGCGAUAUUAGCAGAGGAAUAAGCCACGGCUAACUCCGUGCCAGCAGCCGCGGUAACACGGGGGUGGCGAGCGUUGUCCGGAAUCACUAGGCGUAAAGGGCAGGUAGGCGGAAUAUCUAGUCAUUUGUUAAAGGCAUUGGCUCAACCAAUGUACGGCAUAUGAUACUGGUAUUCUAGAAUUUGGUAUGGGAAGACGGAAUUCCUGGUGUAGCGGUGGAAUGCGCAGAUAUCAGGAAGAACACCGGAGGCGAAGGCGGUCUUCUGGGCCAAAAUUGACGCUCAGCUGCGAAGGUGUGGGUAUCAAACAGGAUUAGAUACCCCGGUAGUC